UUUGCAUAUCAUCCCUUUCCAUUUCAAAAUUACAUUUAUCAUCCUCCUAAAAAUGUUUCAUUUUCAUCUACGCUGUAUUGAUGAUGAACUAGGAAUUUAAUUUUCCACCAUUCAACAUACUUCAUUUUAACUUAAAAGAGUAAUUGAUUUUUACAUAAAAUUUUUAAAUAUAAAAUUUACAUAUUUUUAUUUUUCAUUCAUAUUGUACAGUCCAAUUUUGGCCUGAGCCAAAAUAAAGCCAAACCAAACUAAACCUAACAAACCCCAAACCAAUAUCAAACCAAAACCCAAUUAAAAACCAUCAGCCCAAUAACAGAAAAAAAAACAAAACAAAAAGAAACCCUAGCCCUUAGGUCUUCUAAUCAGCCACCAUUGCCACCCUAGCCUCUGCACCGCUUGCUGCUGCUACCUUGUCACGUCCACCGCCCUCAAGUUGCACCUACACACAAGCAACAGUGAUAGCUAAAAAAUAGAUUAAAAAGUAUUGUAAAUGACUAUAAAAGCCAUUAUAAAUCAAAUGUAUUUUCUCUGGACACAGAUGAAUACAAAAAUAGUGUUUCAAACAUACAUUUAAAUACAAAAGAAAAACAGCAAGCAAGCAGAAAAAGAAACCAGGUCCAAAAGCAUAUUAAAGGUAUUUUCCUUUUUAUUUUCUUCUUUUUUUUAAAUCUGUUAUAUAAGUAUACUUAUCAAAAAAGAAUCAAAGGGAAUAAAAAGGGAAAGAGCAUACCUAGUUCUUCGAUUCGGCCGAAAAGAGGGAGGUUUUUUGAGUUCCGGCCGCCGGAGCUCCCACCGCGAUCAUGCUGAGGAGGAGAGUGAUAGAGAGAAUGGAGAGUCUUUUGUUUUUCUUUGAGAAGUUCGCUAAAAAUGAAAAAAAUUAGAUUUUUUAACUUAAACAAUGAAAUGAAAAUGAUGCCGUUUUGGCUUAGUGUCUAUGGACACUAAACGGCGUCAUUUUGGUGUGUAACGGGUCGACCCGACCCUCUAAGCCAAGGUCCGCGUGUUUUCUUUGCAGAAGGGCUAAUUGCACUUUCAGCCCUUCCGCUUUUCAAGUGUUUGGCAAUCAAGUUUUUUUUUAUAAUUUUUAUUUAUACCCUGUGUUUUAUCUCAAUUACAUCUUAGCCCGCAUCUGAACAACGCCGUUUUGGAGAGAAAGGAUAAUUCCUAUUUUCGUCCCUCCACGUUGUGCGCGUGUUGUAAUGCAGUCCUCCCCCUCCUUUUUGUUUCGAAUUUACCCCCUAACUUCUGUUUUAAGC
RNAcentral lists this long non-coding RNA (1256 nucleotides) under Gossypium barbadense (sea-island cotton). Its description in RNAcentral is "long non-coding RNA (GBAR_LNC009220)". The record is from RNAcentral. Lineage: Eukaryota; Viridiplantae; Streptophyta; Magnoliopsida; Malvales; Malvaceae.